AGCAGCCAAUGGGAGCCCAGGAGGCGGGGCGCCUGUGGGAGUCGUGGAGGGAACUUUCCCAGGCCCCGAGGCGGAUCGGGUAUUGAGUCCAUGGAGCGAGCUGAGAGCUAGAGAACCUGCUAAGGCCAUCAAACCUAUCGAUCGGAAGUCAGUCCAUCAGAUUUGCUCUGGGCCGGUGGUACUGAGUCUAAGCACUGCGGUGAAGGAGUUAGUAGAAAACAGUCUGGAUGCUGGUGCCACCAAUAUUGAUCUAAAGCUUAAGGACUAUGGAGUGGAUCUCAUUGAAGUUUCAGACAAUGGAUGUGGGGUAGAAGAAGAAAACUUUGAAGGCUUAACGAUGUCACCAUUUCUACCUGCCACGCAUCGGCGAAGGUUGGGACUCGACUGGUGUUUGAUCACGAUGGGAAAAUCAUCCAGAAAACCCCCUACCCCCACCCCAGAGGGACCACAGUCAGCGUGAAGCAGUUAUUUUCUACACUACCUGUGCACCAUAAGGAAUUUCAAAGGAAUAUUAAGAAGACGUGCCUGUUUCCCCUUCGCCUUCUGCCGUGAUUGUCAGUUUCCUGAGGCCUCCCCAGCCAUGCUUCCUGUACAGCCUGCAGAACUGAUGGCCGUAUAAGAAAAUAAACAACUUGCUAAAACUGCUGAAACUCCCUCUGCUUGUGAGAUUUAAAAAAACUGGCUGAAAUUGGUUGGAACCAACAUGUCCAAUGGAGUCUGAAUAGAAAGAGCUUGCUGACAUCACAGCCCGAAUUUCCACCACAUUUCAUACUAACUCCCCCUGAAUUUGCAUAUGCAAACCACAAGCAAGCAUGAUCAAACAGACAACUGCGCGUGUCCGAGGACUUUCCAGAUCUCCCCUUUCCUUCCACCAAUCACUUACUAAUCUGAGAAUCCAUCCCCUAAUAAAAUCACUGCCUUAAAGCCUGCACAGGAAGACAAAUUUGAG
Molecule: long non-coding RNA, 949 nt
Organism: Homo sapiens (human)
Lineage: Eukaryota; Metazoa; Chordata; Mammalia; Primates; Hominidae
Gene: PMS2P4
Product: PMS1 homolog 2, mismatch repair system component pseudogene 4
Source: Ensembl